UACAUCUUUUGCUUCUUUUAUGUCCAAAUUUACUCUAAUGGUAGUUGUCAGGCCGUAGAUGGGCGUGUGGAGAAUAGACUUAGGCGGUGAAGAUUUUCUGAAUAUGUAUGUAUUAUAGUUUGUGGUUUUAUUUGUAAUUUUGCUUUCUCUUUGUUCAUAAUUGUGGUUAGAAUUCAUAGUAGGAAAGUUUAUGAUGCCUAGUCUAAUUGCGAUGAGAGCUUGUGUCAAAAAUGUAAUCUUGGUUUGGUGAGCUAACUGGACUAUAGUUCAUCGUUUCCCACCAAAACCCAUAAGUUAAUAAUAAUGUUGCCUUCUAAGUUGAUAGUUUACUGUACUAUUUUUCCAACUGUAUUUGCUUAUUUAAUUAUGGAUUUCCAUUGUUUU
RNAcentral lists this long non-coding RNA (384 nucleotides) under Panax ginseng (ginseng). RNAcentral's name for it is "long non-coding RNA (PGIN_LNC009207)". The record is from RNAcentral. Lineage: Eukaryota; Viridiplantae; Streptophyta; Magnoliopsida; Apiales; Araliaceae.